GACGGGGGGGGCAAGUGUUCUUCGGAAUUACUGGGCGUAAAGCGCGCGUAGGCGGCUUUGCAAGUCGGGUGUGAAAUCCCCAAGCUUAACUUGGGAACUGCAUUCGAGACUGCAUUGCUAGAGUAUGGGAGAGGGAAGUGGAAUUUCCGGUGUAGCGGUGAAAUGCGUAGAUAUCGGAAGGAACAUCAGUGGCGAAGGCGGGUCUCUGGGCCGAUACUGACGCUGAGGAGCGAAAGCGUGGGGAGCGAACAGG
RNAcentral lists this ribosomal RNA (253 nucleotides) under uncultured bacterium. RNAcentral describes it as "partial 16S ribosomal RNA". It matches the Rfam family "Bacterial small subunit ribosomal RNA", at positions 524 to 776 of the family's 1533-position model. The record is from RNAcentral.